GAGGGUAUAGCUCAAGAGGUAGAGCAGAUGCCUAGCAUACACAAGGUCCUGGGUUCAAUCUCCAGUACCUCUA
Molecule: transfer RNA, 73 nt
Filed under: Camelus bactrianus (Bactrian camel)
Lineage: Eukaryota; Metazoa; Chordata; Mammalia; Artiodactyla; Camelidae
Also listed under: 2 other names
Rfam family: tRNA
About the family: Transfer RNA (tRNA) molecules are approximately 80 nucleotides in length. Their secondary structure includes four short double-helical elements and three loops (D, anti-codon, and T loops).
Source: Rfam by way of RNAcentral